Molecule: ribosomal RNA, 247 nt
Filed under: uncultured Oscillospiraceae bacterium
Lineage: Bacteria; Bacillati; Bacillota; Clostridia; Eubacteriales; Oscillospiraceae
Description: partial 16S ribosomal RNA
Rfam family: Bacterial small subunit ribosomal RNA
Source: RNAcentral
CACGCCGUAAACGAUGAAUACUAGGUGUAGGGGGUAUCGACUCCCCCUGUGCCGGAGUUAACACAAUAAGUAUUCCACCUGGGGAGUACGGCCGCAAGGUUGAAACUCAAAGGAAUUGACGGGGGCCCGCACAAGCAGUGGAGUAUGUGGUUUAAUUCGAAGCAACGCGAAGAACCUUACCUGGGCUUGACAUCUGCCGAAUCCCGUAGAAAUACGGGAGUGCCUUCGGGAGCGGCAAGACAGGUGG